RNAcentral lists this ribosomal RNA (2276 nucleotides) under Bacillus cereus. RNAcentral describes it as "partial 23S ribosomal RNA". It matches the Rfam family "Bacterial large subunit ribosomal RNA", at positions 643 to 2925 of the family's 2925-position model. The record is from RNAcentral. Lineage: Bacteria; Bacillati; Bacillota; Bacilli; Caryophanales; Bacillaceae. RNAcentral also lists the same sequence under 6 other names.
AGGUUAAGCUGAAGAGGCGGAGCCGCAGCGAAAGCGAGUCUGAAUAGGGCGUUUAGUACGUGGUCGUAGACCCGAAACCAGGUGAUCUACCCAUGUCCAGGGUGAAGUUCAGGUAACACUGAAUGGAGGCCCGAACCCACGCACGUUGAAAAGUGCGGGGAUGAGGUGUGGGUAGCGGAGAAAUUCCAAUCGAACCUGGAGAUAGCUGGUUCUCCCCGAAAUAGCUUUAGGGCUAGCCUUAAGUGUAAGAGUCUUGGAGGUAGAGCACUGAUUGAACUAGGGGUCCUCAUCGGAUUACCGAAUUCAGUCAAACUCCGAAUGCCAAUGACUUAUCCUUAGGAGUCAGACUGCGAGUGAUAAGAUCCGUAGUCAAGAGGGAAACAGCCCAGAUCGCCAGCUAAGGUCCCAAAGUGUGUAUUAAGUGGAAAAGGAUGUGGAGUUGCUUAGACAACUAGGAUGUUGGCUCAGAAGCAGCCACCAUUUAAAGAGUGCGUAAUAGCUCACUAGUCGAGUGACUCUGCGCCGAAAAUGUACCGGGGCUAAAUACACCACCGAAGCUGCGAAUUGAUACCAAUGGUAUCAGUGGUAGGGGAGCGUUCUAAGUGCAGUGAAGUCAGACCGGAAGGACUGGUGGAGCGCUUAGAAGUGAGAAUGCCGGUAUGAGUAGCGAAAGACGGGUGAGAAUCCCGUCCACCGAAUGCCUAAGGUUUCCUGAGGAAGGCUCGUCCGCUCAGGGUUAGUCAGGACCUAAGCCGAGGCCGACAGGCGUAGGCGAUGGACAACAGGUUGAUAUUCCUGUACCACCUCUUUAUCGUUUGAGCAAUGGAGGGACGCAGAAGGAUAGAAGAAGCGUGCGAUUGGUUGUGCACGUCCAAGCAGUUAGGCUGAUAAGUAGGCAAAUCCGCUUAUCGUGAAGGCUGAGCUGUGAUGGGGAAGCUCCUUAUGGAGCGAAGUCUUUGAUUCCCCGCUGCCAAGAAAAGCUUCUAGCGAGAUAAAAGGUGCCUGUACCGCAAACCGACACAGGUAGGCGAGGAGAGAAUCCUAAGGUGUGCGAGAGAACUCUGGUUAAGGAACUCGGCAAAAUGACCCCGUAACUUCGGGAGAAGGGGUGCUUUCUUAACGGAAAGCCGCAGUGAAUAGGCCCAAGCGACUGUUUAGCAAAAACACAGGUCUCUGCGAAGCCGUAAGGCGAAGUAUAGGGGCUGACACCUGCCCGGUGCUGGAAGGUUAAGGAGAGGGGUUAGCGUAAGCGAAGCUCUGAACUGAAGCCCCAGUAAACGGCGGCCGUAACUAUAACGGUCCUAAGGUAGCGAAAUUCCUUGUCGGGUAAGUUCCGACCCGCACGAAAGGUGUAACGAUUUGGGCACUGUCUCAACCAGAGACUCGGUGAAAUUAUAGUACCUGUGAAGAUGCAGGUUACCCGCGACAGGACGGAAAGACCCCGUGGAGCUUUACUGUAGCCUGAUAUUGAAUUUUGGUACAGUUUGUACAGGAUAGGCGGGAGCCAUUGAAACCGGAGCGCUAGCUUCGGUGGAGGCGCUGGUGGGAUACCGCCCUGACUGUAUUGAAAUUCUAACCUACGGGUCUUAUCGACCCGGGAGACAGUGUCAGGUGGGCAGUUUGACUGGGGCGGUCGCCUCCUAAAGUGUAACGGAGGCGCCCAAAGGUUCCCUCAGAAUGGUUGGAAAUCAUUCGUAGAGUGCAAAGGCAUAAGGGAGCUUGACUGCGAGACCUACAAGUCGAGCAGGGACGAAAGUCGGGCUUAGUGAUCCGGUGGUUCCGCAUGGAAGGGCCAUCGCUCAACGGAUAAAAGCUACCCCGGGGAUAACAGGCUUAUCUCCCCCAAGAGUCCACAUCGACGGGGAGGUUUGGCACCUCGAUGUCGGCUCAUCGCAUCCUGGGGCUGUAGUCGGUCCCAAGGGUUGGGCUGUUCGCCCAUUAAAGCGGUACGCGAGCUGGGUUCAGAACGUCGUGAGACAGUUCGGUCCCUAUCCGUCGUGGGCGCAGGAAAUUUGAGAGGAGCUGUCCUUAGUACGAGAGGACCGGGAUGGACGCACCGCUGGUGUACCAGUUGUUCUGCCAAGGGCAUAGCUGGGUAGCUAUGUGCGGAAGGGAUAAGUGCUGAAAGCAUCUAAGCAUGAAGCCCCCCUCAAGAUGAGAUUUCCCAUAGCGUAAGCUAGUAAGAUCCCUGAAAGAUGAUCAGGUUGAUAGGUUCGAGGUGGAAGCAUGGUGACAUGUGGAGCUGACGAAUACUAAUAGAUCGAGGACUUAACCAU